RNAcentral lists this ribosomal RNA (465 nucleotides) under Vreelandella stevensii. RNAcentral describes it as "partial 16S ribosomal RNA". It matches the Rfam family "Bacterial small subunit ribosomal RNA", at positions 338 to 795 of the family's 1533-position model. The record is from RNAcentral. Lineage: Bacteria; Pseudomonadati; Pseudomonadota; Gammaproteobacteria; Oceanospirillales; Halomonadaceae.
CCUACGGGUGGCAGCAGUGGGGAAUAUUGGACAAUGGGGGGAACCCUGAUCCAGCCAUGCCGCGUGUGUGAAGAAGGCCCUCGGGUUGUAAAGCACUUUCAGUGAGGAAGAACGCCUGGUGGUUAAUACCCAUCAGGAAAGACAUCACUCACAGAAGAAGCACCAGCUAACUCCGUGCCAGCAGCCGCGGUAAUACGGAGGGUGCGAGCGUUAAUCGGAAUUACUGGGCGUAAAGCGCGCGUAGGUGGCUUGAUAAGCCGGUUGUGAAAGCCCCGGGCUCAACCUGGGAACGGCAUCCGGAACUGUCAAGCUAGAGUGCAGGAGAGGAAGGUAGAAUUCCCGGUGUAGCGGUGAAAUGCGUAGAGAUCGGGAGGAAUACCAGUGGCGAAGGCGGCCUUCUGGACUGACACUGACACUGAGGUGCGAAAGCGUGGGUAGCAAACAGGAUUAGAUACCCUAGUAGUC